UCCCCUAUAGCUCAACGGAUAGAGCGGUCUCAUACGGUGGGGCGCGUUGCGGGUUCGAAUCCCGCUAGGGGAG
Molecule: transfer RNA, 73 nt
Filed under: Streptomyces sp. SID3212
Lineage: Bacteria; Bacillati; Actinomycetota; Actinomycetes; Kitasatosporales; Streptomycetaceae
Description: tRNA-OTHER
Rfam family: tRNA
About the family: Transfer RNA (tRNA) molecules are approximately 80 nucleotides in length. Their secondary structure includes four short double-helical elements and three loops (D, anti-codon, and T loops). Further hydrogen bonds mediate the characteristic L-shaped molecular structure. tRNAs have two regions of fundamental functional importance: the anti-codon, which is responsible for specific mRNA codon recognition, and the 3' end, to which the tRNAs corresponding amino acid is attached (by aminoacyl-tRNA synthetases). tRNAs cope with the degeneracy of the genetic code in two manners: having more than one tRNA (with a specific anti-codon) for a particular amino acid; and 'wobble' base-pairing, i.e. permitting non-standard base-pairing at the 3rd anti-codon position.
Source: RNAcentral